UUAUUUUCCUUGACAGUGCUCAAGAAAAUGU
Molecule: regulatory RNA element, 31 nt
Organism: Homo sapiens (human)
Lineage: Eukaryota; Metazoa; Chordata; Mammalia; Primates; Hominidae
Rfam family: Iron response element II
About the family: IRE, TFRC, SLC40A1, SDHB, SLC11A2, CDC42BPA, ACO2, ALAS2_H.SAPIENS, CDC14A, EPAS1, ALAS2, qoxD, Hao1, NDUFS1, transferrin, Aconitate.
Source: Rfam